Molecule: ribosomal RNA, 391 nt
Filed under: uncultured bacterium
Lineage: Bacteria
Description: bacterial SSU rRNA
Rfam family: Bacterial small subunit ribosomal RNA
Source: RNAcentral
CCUAACACAUGCAAGUCGAACGGUAACAGGAAGAAGCUUGCUUCUUUGCUGACGAGUGGCGGACGGGUGAGUAAUGUCUGGGAAACUGCCUGAUGGAGGGGGAUAACUACUGGAAACGGUAGCUAAUACCGCAUAACGUCGCAAAACCAAAGAGGGGGACCUUCGGGCCUCUUGCCAUCGGAUGUGCCCAGAUGGGAUUAGCUAGUAGGUGGGGUAACGGCUCACCUAGGCGACGAUCCCUAGCUGGUCUGAGAGGAUGACCAGCCACACUGGAACUGAGACACGGUCCAGACUCCUACGGGAGGCAGCAGUGGGGAAUAUUGCACAAUGGGCGCAAGCCUGAUGCAGCCAUGCCGCGUGUAUGAAGAAGGCCUUCGGGUUGUAAAGUACU